RNAcentral lists this small nucleolar RNA (130 nucleotides) under Setaria italica (foxtail millet). RNAcentral's name for it is "Small nucleolar RNA snoR111". It matches the Rfam family "Small nucleolar RNA snoR111". RNAcentral also lists the same sequence under 1 other name. The record is from Rfam by way of RNAcentral. Lineage: Eukaryota; Viridiplantae; Streptophyta; Magnoliopsida; Poales; Poaceae.
UUGAUGGGCGGGGGCACGAACACCUCUCCGUGCGGCGCCGCCCUCGCGAAGAGGGGAUAGAUCGACGCGUCAAGAAAUCGUUUCAGUUGCCAUGGCUCCAGUAGGCAAUAUGAUUGUUGCUUGACCACAG